This is a long non-coding RNA of Cervus elaphus (red deer), 1202 nucleotides long. RefSeq lists it as uncharacterized. The record is from RefSeq and is a predicted model, not a curated record. Lineage: Eukaryota; Metazoa; Chordata; Mammalia; Artiodactyla; Cervidae. The transcript is spliced from 3 exons.
UUAUCUGCGCAUCCUACCUCUAUCGCCCGCACUCCCCGACACACAAGGAGUAUAGGAAUCUAUUAAAAAAGAGAUUUAUUGUGCCAGUUCCCGCCUUGUUGGUACCCUUUUUCGUGUUGGCUAAGCAAAAAGGAGUCAGUGAAAAGAGAAUUGGACCACAGAAAUCAAGACAAAUAAUCUCAAGGACUCUACAUCUUGCCCAGCAUGGUAUAGAAUGGUAUUUGAGACACUAGACUAGAGAAAUGAUGUUAGACACAAAGCAAAUUUGAGUAAUUUUUUAAUUUGAGUUCAAAAUGGGUCAUAAAGCAGUGGAGACAACUUACAACAUCAACAAUGCAUUUGACCCAGCAACUGCUAAUGCAGUGAUGGUUCAAGAAGUUUUGCAAAGGAGAUGGGAGCCUUGAAGGUGAGGAGUGCAGUGGCCGACCAUUGGAAGUUGACAACGACCAAUUGAGAGCCAUCAUCAAAGCUGAUCCCCUUACAGCUACACAAGAAGUUGCCGAAGAACUCGACAUUGACCAUUCUAUGGUUGUUGAGCAUUUGAAGCAGAUUGAAAAGGUGAAAAAAGCUCGGUAAGGGGAUGCCUUGUGAGAUGACCACAAAUCAAAAGAAACGUCAUUUUGGAGUAUCAUCUUCUCUUAUUCUACAAAACAACAAGCCAUUUUUCAGAUUGUGACGUGUGAUGAAAAGCGGAUUUUAGACAACAACCAGCUAUGACCAGUUCAAUGGUUAGACCUUGAAGAAGCCCCAAAGCACUUCCCAAAGCCAAACUUGCACCCAAAAAAAGGUCAGGGUCACUGUUUUGUGGUCUGCUGCCCAUCUGAUCCACUACAGCUUUCUGAAUCCCAGUGAAACCAUUUCAUCUGAGAAGGAUGUUCAGCAAAUCUAUGAGAUGCAUGGAAAACUGCAAUGCCUGUAGCCAACAUUGGUCAACAGAAAGGGCCCAAUUCUUCUCCAUGAUAAUGCCUGACCAUACAUCUCACAACCAGUGCUUCAAAAGUUGAAUGAAUUGGGCUACGAAGUUUUGUGUCAUCCACCGUAUUCACCUGACCUCUCACCAACUGAUUACCACUUCUUCAAGCAUCUUGACAACUCUUUGCAGGGAAGACGCUUCCACAACCAGCAGGAUGCUGCAAAUGCUUUCCUAGAGUUGGCGAAUAGUAAAGUACAAGAAUAAACAAACUUAUUUCUCAUUGGCAAAA